Molecule: ribosomal RNA, 486 nt
Filed under: uncultured bacterium
Lineage: Bacteria
Description: partial 16S ribosomal RNA
Rfam family: Bacterial small subunit ribosomal RNA
Source: RNAcentral
AUUGAACGCUGGCGGCAUGCCUUACACAUGCCAGUCGAACGGCAGCACGGGUGCUUGCACCUGGUGGCGAGUGGCGAACGGGUGAGUAAUACAUCGGAACAUGUCCUGUAGUGGGGGAUAGCCCGGCGAAAGCCGGAUUAAUACCGCAUACGAUCUACGGAUGAAAGCGGGGGACCAUCGGGCCUCGCGCUAUAGGGUUGGCCGAUGGCUGAUUAGCUAGUUGGUGGGGUAAAGGCCUACCAAGGCGACGAUCAGUAGCUGGUCUGAGAGGACGACCAGCCACACUGGGACUGAGACACGGCCCAGACUCCUACGGGAGGCAGCAGUGGGGAAUUUUGGACAAUGGGCGAAAGCCUGAUCCAGCAAUGCCGCGUGUGUGAAGAAGGCCUUCGGGUUGUAAAGCACUUUUGUCCGGAAAGAAAUCCUUGGCCCUAAUACGGUCGGAGGAUGACGGUACCGGAAGAAUAAGCACCGGCUAACUACGUG